GAUGAACGCUGGCGGCGUGCCUAAUACAUGCAAGUCGAGCGAACGGACGAGAAGCUUGCUUCUCUGAUGUUAGCGGCGGACGGGUGAGUAACACGUGGAUAACCUACCUAUAAGACUGGGAUAACUUCGGGAAACCGGAGCUAAUACCGGAUGAUAUUUUGAACCGCAUGGUUCAAAAGUGAAAGACGGUCUUGCUGUCACUUAUAGAUGGAUCCGCGCUGCAUUAGCUAGUUGGUAAGGUAACGGCUUACCAAGGCAACGAUGCAUAGCCGACCUGAGAGGGUGAUCGGCCACACUGGAACUGAGACACGGUCCAGACUCCUACGGAGGCAGCAGUAGGGAAUCUUCCGCAAUGGGCGAAAGCCUGACGGAGCAACGCCGCGUGAGUGAUGAAGGUCUUCGGAUCGUAAAACUCUGUUAUUAGGGAAGAACAUAUGUGUAAGUAACUGUGCACAUCUUGACGGUACCUAAUCAGAAAGCCACGGCUAACUACGUG
RNAcentral lists this ribosomal RNA (496 nucleotides) under uncultured bacterium. RNAcentral describes it as "partial 16S ribosomal RNA". It matches the Rfam family "Bacterial small subunit ribosomal RNA", at positions 28 to 507 of the family's 1533-position model. The record is from RNAcentral.